Molecule: ribosomal RNA, 550 nt
Filed under: uncultured bacterium
Lineage: Bacteria
Description: partial 16S ribosomal RNA
Rfam family: Bacterial small subunit ribosomal RNA
Source: RNAcentral
UGGGGAAUAUUGGACAAUGGGGGCAACCCUGAUCCAGCCAUGCCGCGUGUGUGAAGAAGGCCUUUUGGUUGUAAAGCACUUUAAAGCAGGGAGGAGAGGCUAAUGGUUAAUACCCAUUAGAUUAGACGUUACCUGCAGAAUAAGCACCGGCUAACUCUGUGCCAGCAGCCGCGGUAAAUACAGAGGGUGCGAGCGUUAAAUCGGAAUUACUGGGCGUAAAAGCGAGUGUAGGUGGCUCAUUAAGUCACAUGUGAAAUCCCCGGGCUUAAACCUGGGAACUGCAUGUGAUACUGGUGGUGCUAGAAUAUGUGAGAGGGAAGUAGAAUUCCAGGUGUAGCGGUGAAAUGCGUAGAGAUCUGGAGGAAUACCGAUGGCGAAGGCAGCUUCCUGGCAUAAUAUUGACACUGAGAUUCGAAAGCGUGGGUAGCAAAACAGGAUUAGAUACCCUGGUAGUCCACGCCGUAAAACGAUGUCUACUAGCCGUUGGGGUCCUUGAGACUUUAGUGGCGCAGUUAAACGCGAUAAGUAGACCGCCUGGGGGAGUACGGCC